Molecule: ribosomal RNA, 235 nt
Filed under: uncultured bacterium
Lineage: Bacteria
Description: partial 16S ribosomal RNA
Rfam family: Bacterial small subunit ribosomal RNA
Source: RNAcentral
GAUCAUGGCUCAGGAUGAACGCUAGCUACAGGCUUAACACAUGCAAGUCGAGGGGCAGCAUGGUCUUAGCUUGCUAAGGCCGAUGGCGACCGGCGCACGGGUGAGUAACGCGUAUCAAACCUGCCUUACGACUCUUGGACAGCCUUCUGAAAGGGAGAUUAAUACAAGACGUUAUCAUGAGUAAGCAUUUUCGCAUGAUUAAAGGUUUACCGGUGUAAGAUGGGGAUGCGUUCCA